GCCACCGUGGUGCCUCCCGGCUGGAAAAUGGCGAUCGUAGCAACUCAUUCCUUACAGAUAGACCUAGGAUCCUGGAGCGAGCUUGCUCUCUAGCCCCCAAAGAACAGCAGCGUUUAUGGCCAUUUACUUUUUGCGGCUCCGUCAGCUCCCAGGUCCCAGAAUCUUGCCGGGCGUGCUCCCCAUCCGGAGCCAAAAUCUCCUGGACCGUCCUGCGGACUUGAGCCACCUGACCCGAAAGGCCAGCUUCCUCCGGGGCCUUGGGUGGAGGAGCUGGCCUGCUGCACUGGAGUGGUGCAGCCUUGUUGCGCUGGAGCAUGUGUGUGUGUGUGCGCGCGCGUGUGCGUGUGUCUGUCGGGGGUCCCGGCACCACCGAUGACUUAACAAGAGGGAAGCCACUGGGGACAGGAAUGUGCGGGCCAACUUAGGCAGCAGGGGUUCCGGGUUAUGGCUUGAGGACCAGUGUUCUUUCUGAGGUGCUGUGUAUAAUGAAUGUUUACUCCAGUGUUACUGGGGCUGGAGAGUGAGGCAUUUGAGUUGUGGGUGCUGUUUUUGUGUUGGCAUGAGAUCUUUAUUCCAUUUGAAUAGUUGGUAGUAAUGUUAAGUAUUUUGGAGCGUUAUUUUAAAACAGGAGAAUUCCUUAGAUGUUUGCUCAUUUUAGGUUGAGGAAUUUCCAUUUCUAGGUUGUUGCAAAAGCAGAAGAUGCUAUACUGAACCACACUGUGCACCAAUAAGUGUCAUGUUUUUAUACCAAUUUUUAAUGUUUUCUGGUGUGCACAAAGCAUUACAAAUGAAAAUUAAAAGUAGGCUCAGGGUGGUGGUGUUAACCUGGAAUUCGGCGUUCCCUUUUGUUGGUUCUUAGUUUAGUUAAUAUAAUAAUUUUAAAACCAAGGACCAUUUUAUUGGAAUUUAAAAGAAAAACAAUAGGGCAGGCAAAUGUAAAUCUUAGCUGCUGCCAGAAAAAGGGAGAUGGGUAAGAGGAACGAAUAAUUCCAGACUGAGGAGGCUGGCCAGCAGGUAAAAGAGCUUUAAGUCCCACAUGGCUCAAAGUGAGAGCCAACUCCUGAUCUCCACACGUGUGCUUCCGCUAGUGCAAUCAUAUACACACAACACACACGCACAGAAAUGUGAUUUUAAACAAUGUUUAUUAUUUUUUUAAUUAUGUGUAUAUGUGUGAAUAGUUGUGUGGGUGUUGAUGGAAGCCAGAGGCACUGAUCCUUCUGGAGCUGGAGUUACAGGUGGUUGUGAGCCACCUAUGGUGGGUAGUGUGCAUUCUGAAAAGCUGAGCCAUCUCCAGCGGUCCAAAUGUAACUAAACAAGAAAAGAAGUCGUGGCUCGGGGUGGUGGUAACGUACACCUUUAAUCCCUGCAUUCAGGAGGCAGAGGCUGGUGGAUCUCGGGAACCCCAUGCCUGAGCAUGGGAGCAGAAAUAAGGACAAAGACUUGGCCUUCCUGACUGAUAUCACAAGCCACUUAAAUAUGCUGGGUAGUUCUUGGCAAGGAUGUCCAUUGUAGUUACUCAAAUGCAUGAUUCACUUCGCUCAUUCCUGGCAAAACUGUCUUUAUCUUGUCUUUGACAAGGACCCUGUCUGGCCCGUUUCUCCAUGCUGAAAUUAGUUUCUGAAAAUGAAAGCUGUGGCCUGAACGACAUUCCCAGAAUGAAAGAGCUGACGACUGGAUUCCAGGAAGGGAUCUCUGAUUUCAGGCUUUAUGAAAAUGAACUGCUAUUGCUCAGUUCAGCCUUCUCAAUGACUAUGAAGCCUGUCAGCCGGGAGUUGUGAUGGCCGUGGGGCUUCAGAGCAGCACUGCACAGAGGACAAAUAUGCCCGCCUUGGAGUCGAUUGGAUCUACAGGCAAUUUGGGAAUUGUUACCCCCGAUAGAAAACUAUCCUGCCCAGCUUCUGUUCAUGUGUGGAAGCACUCACGUGUGUGAGCUGUCACUUCCUGUUGGUGAUUGAGUUGUAGAGAUGAUCAAAGAAAGAAAAUCACUCCAGGGUUAAAGUUAGACCUUACAGGCAAGCAGGGACUUACAGCCUCAUUGGACUGAACCUCGAACAGCCAUGCAGAAGCAUGUUUAUUGAUUGUUACACAAAAGUUGUUUGGGGAGUAAAACAAGUUCCUCAUACCAGAGUCCCUGAUCUAUAUGUUUUGUGAAGGAAAACAUCACACAUCUGCAACUUUAGUCUUUAUUGCGCACUGUUUGCAGUACCCAAUAAUGCAAGAUGUUCCAGGUUUGCUAGGACCAUCUUGUGACUAAAGUCAUUCAAAGGCUGUAAAACUUCAGAAAAACAACUUUAUAAAUCACAGAAAACAAUCACUGUUUUUCACAAUGCUUUCUUCAAGGUCUAAGUACCAGGAAACUAUUCAUUCUGAGGUUUACUCUAGAUACAUCGACUUUAGUAGACUUCUACUACAUUUCCCCCUUUUGUUUAAGUUAUUUUAAUUAUGUUGAAGAUUAUGCAGCCACCCAAUGAAUAUAGCUUUUUCUCUAAGUGCUAUUUUACGGUCUUAUGUAGAUAAGCCAGAGUACAUUUUAAAUCCAGUAAAAUCAUUACAGGAAAAAACAAAAACAAAAAAAGUAUCUGUUAAUAUUUUUGCUGUGAACAAAAUGGGUGUGAAAAAAUGGCCUAGUCCAUUCAGAACUUUAUAAGCCAUCUGUCAUGGGCCACAAGAAGGCUAAAGGUUGCCUCUGAUUCAAGGAUUCAGGGAUAAGUACUUGGUGGUGGCAUCUUGCCACAGGGCAGUUGUCACAGCCUGACAUUACUUGACACCCACAGGUACAUGAAAGGGACUUCAAAUCCCUCACUUCAAAUCUGAGGAAAAAUAAACAGGACUGAACAGCUAAUUUCAUUUUCAGGUUGUAUCUUUUUUUCAGCAUGGAUGCAGAAUACAGUCUCUGCCACUAUUCAUGUAAUGCUUAUACCUUAUAUCAUUUAUAGUGAUGUCUGCUUAUGCUUCCAACUGCUUCCUAAUUUCUGGCCCUGAGUUGUUCAAACUAAAAACCUCUGCCCGAAAAAAGAAGUCAUGUUUUCCUAAAAGACAUCUGAAAAAAAAUUCAAAAUGUCUAUGGGUAUUUUUGUCUGCGUGUAUGUCUGCACUAAGGGUGUGCCAGGCACGCUUCGUGUCCUCAGAGGUCUUGGGACAGGAGUUACUUACCGU
RNAcentral lists this long non-coding RNA (3156 nucleotides) under Cricetulus griseus (Chinese hamster). RNAcentral describes it as "lncRNA (ENSCGRG00015041402.1)". Lineage: Eukaryota; Metazoa; Chordata; Mammalia; Rodentia; Cricetidae. The record is from RNAcentral.